GCAAGUCGAACGGUAACAUGAGGGAGCUUGCUCUCUUGAUGACGAGUGGCGGACGGGUGAGUAAUACAUAGGAAUCUAUCCAGUAGUUGGGGAUAACGUGUGGAAACGCACGCUAAUACCGAAUACGCACUACGGUGGAAAGAGGGGGAUCUUCGGACCUCUCGCUAUCGGGUGAGCCUAUGCCGGAUUAGCUAGUUGGUGGGGUAAUGGCCUACCAAGGCGACGAGCCGUAGCUGGUCUGAGAGGGUGAUC
RNAcentral lists this ribosomal RNA (252 nucleotides) under uncultured bacterium. RNAcentral describes it as "partial 16S ribosomal RNA". It matches the Rfam family "Bacterial small subunit ribosomal RNA", at positions 57 to 305 of the family's 1533-position model. The record is from RNAcentral.